Molecule: ribosomal RNA, 616 nt
Filed under: Listeria monocytogenes
Lineage: Bacteria; Bacillati; Bacillota; Bacilli; Caryophanales; Listeriaceae
Description: partial 23S ribosomal RNA
Rfam family: Bacterial large subunit ribosomal RNA
Source: RNAcentral
GAAGGAAAUUAAGUACGGAAGUUCCUGAUUUCACGCUGUCAAGAAAAGCCUCUAGGAAGAGUAGUACUGCCCGUACCGCAAACCGACACAGGUAGAUGAGGAGAGAAUCCUAAGGUGAGCGAGAGAACUCUCGUUAAGGAACUCGGCAAAAUGACCCCGUAACUUCGGGAGAAGGGGUGCUCUAUUAGGGUGCAAGCCCGAGAGAGCCGCAGUGAAUAGGCCCAGGCGACUGUUUAGCAAAAACACAGGUCUCUGCAAAACCGUAAGGUGACGUAUAGGGGCUGACGCCUGCCCGGUGCUGGAAGGUUAAGAGGAGUGCUUAGCUUCGGCGAAGGUACGAAUUGAAGCCCCAGUAAACGGCGGCCGUAACUAUAACGGUCCUAAGGUAGCGAAAUUCCUUGUCGGGUAAGUUCCGACCCGCACGAAAGGCGCAACGAUCUGGGCACUGUCUCAACGAGAGACUCGGUGAAAUUAUAGUACCUGUGAAGAUGCAGGUUACCCGCGACAGGACGGAAAGACCCCGUGGAGCUUUACUGCAACCUGAUAUGGAAUGUUUGUACCGCUUGUACAGGAUAGGUAGGAGCCGAAGAGACGUGUGCGCUAGCAUACGAGGAGG